UACGUAGGGUGCAAGCGUUGUCCGGAAUUAUUGGGCGUAAAGAGCUCGUAGGCGGUUUGUUGCGUCGGCUGUGAAGUCCCGAAGCUCAACCUCGGGUCUGCAGUCGAUACGAGCAAACUAGAGUGUUGCAGGGGAGACUGGAAUUCCUGGUGUAGCGGUGAAAUGCGCAGAUAUCAGGAGGAACACCGGUGGCGAAGGCGGGUCUCUGGGCAACAACUGACGCUGAGGAGCGAAAGCGUGGGGAGCGAACAGG
Molecule: ribosomal RNA, 253 nt
Filed under: uncultured bacterium
Lineage: Bacteria
Description: partial 16S ribosomal RNA
Rfam family: Bacterial small subunit ribosomal RNA
Source: RNAcentral